CAUGCAAGUCGAGCGGCAGCGGGAAGUAGCUUGCUACUUUGCCGGCGAGCGGCGGACGGGUGAGUAAUGUCUGGGGAUCUGCCCGAUGGAGGGGGAUAACUACUGGAAACGGUAGCUAAUACCGCAUAACGUCGCAAGACCAAAGUGGGGGACCUUAGGGCCUCACACCAUCGGAUGAACCCAGAUGGGAUUAGCUAGUAGGUGGGGUAACGGCCCACCUAGGCGACGAUCCCUAGCUGGUCUGAGAGGAUGACCAGCCACACUGGAACUGAGACACGGUCCAGACUCCUACGGGAGGCAGCAGUGGGGAAUAUUGCACAAUGGGCGCAAGCCUGAUGCAGCCAUGCCGCGUGUGUGAAGAAGGCCUUCGGGUUGUAAAGCACUUUCAGCGGGGAGGAAGGGGUUGGGUUGAAUAGAUUCAAUCAUUGACGUUACCCGCAGAAGAAGCACCGGCUAACUCCGUGCCAGCAGCCGCGGUAAUACGGAGGGUGCGAGCGUUAAUCGGAAUUACUGGGCGUAAAGCGUACGCAGGCGGUUUGUUAAGUCAGAUGUGAAAUCCCCGAGCUUAAC
This 570-nucleotide ribosomal RNA is filed under the name Klebsiella sp. Z4S-71. RNAcentral's name for it is "bacterial SSU rRNA". It matches the Rfam family "Bacterial small subunit ribosomal RNA", at positions 54 to 613 of the family's 1533-position model. Lineage: Bacteria; Pseudomonadati; Pseudomonadota; Gammaproteobacteria; Enterobacterales; Enterobacteriaceae. The record is from RNAcentral.